This 484-nucleotide ribosomal RNA is filed under the name uncultured bacterium. Its description in RNAcentral is "partial 16S ribosomal RNA". It matches the Rfam family "Bacterial small subunit ribosomal RNA", at positions 28 to 507 of the family's 1533-position model. The record is from RNAcentral.
AUUGAACGCUGGCGGCAUGCUUUACACAUGCAAGUCGAACGGCAGCGCGGGCUUCGGCCUGGCGGCGAGUGGCGAACGGGUGAGUAAUGCAUCGGAACGUGCCCAGUAGCGGGGGAUAGCCCGGCGAAAGCCGGAUUAAUACCGCAUACGACCUGAGGGUGAAAGCGGGGGACCGAAAGGCCUCGCGCUAUUGGAGCGGCCGAUGUCGGAUUAGCUAGUUGGUGGGGUAAAGGCUUACCAAGGCGACGAUCCGUAGCUGGUCUGAGAGGACGACCAGCCACACUGGGACUGAGACACGGCCCAGACUCCUACGGGAGGCAGCAGUGGGGAAUUUUGGACGAUGGGGGCAACCCUGAUCCAGCCAUGCCGCGGGCGGGAAGAAGGCCUUCGGGUUGUAAACCGCUUUUGUUCGGGAAGAAAUCCUCUGGGCUAAUACCCCGGGGGGAUGACGGUACCGGAAGAAUAAGCACCGGCUAACUACGUG